Long non-coding RNA from Oncorhynchus tshawytscha (Chinook salmon), 3943 nucleotides. Lineage: Eukaryota; Metazoa; Chordata; Actinopteri; Salmoniformes; Salmonidae. The record is from Ensembl.
GGGAAGGGUUGGAUAGAGGAUAUGAUCCUGGUUCAAGGGGAAGGGUUGGGUAGAGGAUAUGAUCCUGGUUUAGGUUUAAAGGGUAGGGUUGGGUAGAAGAUACCAACUACCAACCAGGUUUAUGGUAAGGGUCCUUGAUUAAAAUGAGAAAGUAGGGGAUGGAAACGUAUUCUUCAGGAUACUGGAAGGGGAGUGGUGGUUUGUGAUUUUUGAGUGGUGGGAUGAAUGUUUGUGGUUAUUGUUGAUUUUGUUUGGGAGACAGUCAAGAUGGACAGUACCUUUUUAUAUGGGGGAUACAGGUAGAUCUCCGAUCUGGAUUGAUCAAUACUGCCAUGCCAUCAAUGAGAAUUAAACUUAGUGAAUGUGUAUGCUGUAGGUUAUGUGAGAAUGAGCACCUGUAUAGGUUAAGUAGAGUAGAUCAUUGGAGGGACUUAUUGGCAUAAUAUGACUGUUAGGCCUGUAUCCCCACUGCCCUUAAAACAGCAUCCCAGUAAGCGUUUUGAUGUCUUCUGGACAUCUCUUUUCGGUCCUCAGUCUUUCAAAAAUAUUUUUUAAAUUUCAUCCCCCAGGGAUGUUGAAUUUUGGUCCGGACCAAAUCUGAACCAAUCAUAGACAUCUAUGUUUCACAGGUUUGGACAGCAGUGUACAGUAACUUAGUACAGUAAAGUAUAGUGUACUCUAUUGUACUCUACUGAAUUAAACUAUACUGUACUGUACUGAAUUAACAUGUACUCUACUGAAUUAAACUAUACUGUACUGUACUCUACUGAAUUAACAUGUAUUGUACUGAAUUAAACUAUACUUUACUGUAGUGUACUCUAAUGUACUGAAUUACUGUACUCUACUCUAAUUCAACUCUACUGUAUUGUACUCGACUGAAUAAAACUACCGUACUCUACUGUGCUAAACUGUGCCGUACUGUACUGUGAUGUUCAAACUUGUGAAACAGCCUAGACGUCUAUGAUUCGUUCAGAUUUGGAUCUGGUCCGCACCGGCCAAAUUUGUACUUGUUUGGGGGCGGAGCUCAUUAGAAUAAUAUCCAGAAUGCUUUGCAAGUGUUUUUGUUUUUACAUUUACAUUUUGGUCAUUCAGCAGACGCUCUUAUCCAGAGGAACUUACUGCAUGUGAUAGAUAAAUAUUUUGUUGCGAUCUACAAUUGGUUCCUCUUUCCUAUUAAAACCUGUCUAAGCCAGAGGGUGGGGGUUCUACUAAGGAUCAUUUGGCUGUUUGAUUUUUGAAUUUUAAGACCCCUUGAAGAAUAAAAAAAAAAACAGAAGAAAAAUAUGAUUGGAUGAAUUUUUUGGGGGACCUUACUGCUAUUAGCAUAUUCAAAUGCAUCGAAUAAUAGAUUCACUACACGGAACAACAGAUCAAAAGGAAGUUUGUUCUGAAGUGUCUGUCCAAUAUCUGAGAGAUUUAUGAAAGAUCAGGAUUUUUUACAUGUAUUUAACCCCUUAUUCUUGUCACUAAACAGUCUCCAUACCUCCGUUCGUUUCUUUCAACUGGUACCAUGGGACCUUCAGACAAGUCUUGUGAUAACUGUAAUAUAAUGCUUACUUAUUAUAAUUGAGAAUGUAUAUCAGUUGAAAUUUGGCCAUGGAAUCAAUGAUCGAAAAAAUAAGUAUUUUCAAAUGCACCUGAUUUCAACGUCCAGAAAAUGGGUUAUUUUCAAUGUCCGGAAGAUCCAUAUUUUCAUCACCUAAAAUGUACCUGAUGUCAAUGUCUGAAAAAUAGUUGUGAAAUAUGUAUUUUCAAUGGCCUUUUGCUUAUUGGGAUAUGGUUGUCCUCUUUAAUGUGAGUUCGAUAGGUUUAUAGAAGUUCGCAUCCUUCCUCUUGAUCUGAUUUAUGUUGAUUUAUGCAUUACCUGUCCACCCCUGCAGUGGCAGACUGUAACCAGCAGGUGGCGACCAAGUUCAGGAACUCUGGAAUUAGAACUGUCACUUUUUUUUCCUACUCUUUCAAACUGUUUUACCUGCAGGCUGCAUGCUCGGUUGGAAAUAACACAGUUCAAUAUUUAGAAACACUGCACACUCCUUUUCAACUGGUCUCUUCUGCCUGAAAUUACCAGUACAAGUAUACAGCACUAACACUAGCUCAUUAUUAUUAUUAUGUUGGGUGCUGUGGGUAGUAAUGGUCAGGACUGAGUGUUGCCCUGGUGCCAGUCAGUGUGACUGGGAUGAGUGAGUUAGUGUUGGGUGUCCUCCUGCAUUAUCUUGGACCAGGUUUAGUUUUCACUUGGGGAACUUCCUGCUAUCUGUUUACACAGUGGUGAUGGCAGGGAGCCCACUCAUGUUACACUAGAGACCAGGUGGACAGAAGGGGGGGAGAGAGAGCGAGACGAGAGAGGGGAAGACUAGAGUGAGAGAACAAUAGAGAAAGGAAGUCAAGAGGCACAGAAUCCUAGAGCAGAGCCAGAGAUGAGAGGGAGCAGCCGCAGCCCAGAUGACAUCUCCAUACCAGGGUUUGUUCCUGGCACCAGAGAGGUUGGAUGGAAACCUGUGGAAUUGCAGACUAGAGCAGCAGACUUUAAGCAGGGGAUUGGCUGUAAAGCUGCUGUGUGCCUUUCGGCUGUUCUGUCAGCUGUGACUGUGUGAUGUGGUGUCCAGGACUAGAGCCUGGGACCGAGGCCAAGUCUGACUUCUGACUGGCCAUUGGCCCAGAGUGGCAGGUGGAACAGGGGCUGUAGCCAGUAGCCAGACAGGUGACAGGAGAGAGAGGCCAGGAACAUCAGAACACUCCAUGGAGCAGAGUUGAGUCAUAGCAGAGUCAUUCUAGUGACUUGGGCAAUGCAUCAUAUUUCAUUAAGUUCUACAUAAAUUAUUUACUAUACAUGGCCUAUAUUUUUAGCAGGAACAUUGUGAACAAAUUAACAGCAUAUGUAGUUAGCCCCCUCCCUAUAGUUACAGUAGAGAUACCAUCUUCUGUUUUAGAUUCAGUCGAAACAUUCUCUUCUCUGACUUAUUCUGAUGGUUCAGUUCAUUGGGUAUGAUUACUGUCUGAAAUAUGAAGGGUUGGGAAUAUAGAAACAUCAAGCAUGUGUGAUGUUUUGAGGUUUGAGUCGGGCACAUCCUCGGCUACCUCGGCUAGACUCGUUCAUGAGGACCCGUCGUCUGUUUUAUGCGGAGGAUCUCAGCACCUCUUUAGGCAGUUUGAUGGAAGAGAAUCAAGUGUCUCACUACAGUGUGUGUGGUGACUUACACCCCUAUUCAUUUAAUUAUAAUAUUUUAUUGGGUAGGAGUGCUGAGCUGCCACCUCUCUGGCAUCCGUCAGAAGGUACCCAGGAUGCACCCUGUCCCCCUCCCUCUCUCUGUCUGCCUUGGAAUAUAUUGAUGUCUCUGGUUUGAUCUCCAAACAUUUUGGUUAGCCCUGCAUUCCAUGCUCUCUGUGACCUCCACUGUGAUGAGAAACAGACGGACGGUCAACUAGAAGACUGGAUUUAAGUCUAUUAUGUAAAACGCCUGAUGCCUCUGAAAGGAAGAUGAAGUAGUGUAGCUAAUGUUGUAGUGUCAGACACUAGCUUUGAGUCUCUGAGAAUGUAAAGUCCAAAUCUCUGAGUAAACCACUACUGAAACAUGUUUCCAUGUGCCAUCUGCUGUAGUAGAAUGGCCCCUUUAUUCCAAUGGACUUGUUGACCUCAGUUCUUUGAUCUAGUCGACAGAGACACACGCUACUCCUGUCUCUCAGUGGGGUAUCAAUCAUUCUGCAUCAUAGCCUUUUGAACCCAGUUCAGUCUGUGUGGGGGGCUGUGUUGGGGGACUGGGCACAACAACCCAAAACACACACAGUCACGGAACACAGAUUACAACUGAGGAGAAACAAAGAGGAGAGGAGGAGAGCGUUGCACACUAACCAACUGUUGGAUCUCUGAGAGCCUCGCACGCUAACCAACUGUUGGAUCUCUGAGAGCGUCGCACGCUAACCAACUGUUGGAUCUCUGAGAGCG